RNAcentral lists this ribosomal RNA (468 nucleotides) under uncultured bacterium. RNAcentral describes it as "partial 16S ribosomal RNA". It matches the Rfam family "Bacterial small subunit ribosomal RNA", at positions 28 to 507 of the family's 1533-position model. The record is from RNAcentral.
GACGAACGCUGGCGGCGUGCUUAACACAUGCAAGUCGAACGGAAAGGCCCUGCUUUUGUUGGGUGCUCGAGUGGCGAACGGGUGAGUAACACGUGAGUAACCUGCCCUUGACUUUGGGAUAACUUCAGGAAACUGGGGCUAAUACCGGAUAGGAGCUCCUGCUGCAUGGUGGGGGUUGGAAAGUUUCGGCGGUUGGGGAUGGACUCGCGGCUUAUCAGCUUGUUGGUGGGGUAGUGGCUUACCAAGGCUUUGACGGGUAGCCGGCCUGAGAGGGUGACCGGCGACAUUGGGACUGAGAUACGGCGCAGACUCCUACGGGAGGCAGCAGGGGGGAAUAUUGCACAAUGGGCGGAAGCCUGAGGCAGCAACGCCGCGUGCGGGAUGACGGCCUUCGGGUUGUAAACAGCUUUCGCCUGUGACGAAGCGUGAGUGACGGUAAUGGGUAAAGAAGCACCGGCUAACUACGUG